AAUCAACGCUGGCGGCGUGCCUAACACAUGCAAGUCGAACGCGAAAGUCCCGCAAGGGAUAAGUAGAGUGGCAAACGGGUGAGUAACACGUGGGUGACCUGCCUUCGAGUGGGGGAUAACGUCCCGAAAGGGACGCUAAUACCGCAUAACAUCCUGCCUUUUAAGUAGGUGGAGAUCAAAGCCGGGGAUCGCAAGACCUGGCGCUUAAAGAGGGGCCCGCGUCCGAUUAGCUAGUUGGUGGGGUAAUGGCUCACCAAGGCAUCGAUCGGUAUCCGGCCUGAGAGGGGCGGACGGACACACUGGGACUGAGACACGGCCCAGACUCCUACGGGAGGCAGCAGUGGGGAAUUGUUCGCAAUGGGCGCAAGCCUGACGACGCAACGCCGCGUGGAGGAUGAAGACCUCGGUCGUAACUA
RNAcentral lists this ribosomal RNA (416 nucleotides) under uncultured bacterium. RNAcentral's name for it is "bacterial SSU rRNA". It matches the Rfam family "Bacterial small subunit ribosomal RNA", at positions 32 to 431 of the family's 1533-position model. The record is from RNAcentral.